Molecule: transfer RNA, 61 nt
Filed under: Strigamia maritima
Lineage: Eukaryota; Metazoa; Arthropoda; Chilopoda; Geophilomorpha; Linotaeniidae
Description: tRNA-Tyr
Source: RNAcentral
GACUUUAAGGCCUUGUAUGGGCGUUAUACUGUAAAUUUAAUGUAGCUUGAUAUUGUAGUUA